This 329-nucleotide ribosomal RNA is filed under the name uncultured temperate forest soil bacterium C6062. Its description in RNAcentral is "bacterial SSU rRNA". It matches the Rfam family "Bacterial small subunit ribosomal RNA", at positions 353 to 674 of the family's 1533-position model. Lineage: Bacteria; Pseudomonadati; Pseudomonadota; Gammaproteobacteria. The record is from RNAcentral.
AGUGGGGAAUAUUGGACAAUGGGGGAAACCCUGAUCCAGCGACGCCGCGUGUGUGAAGAAGGCCUGCGGGUUGUAAAGCACUUUUAGUGGGGAUGAAAAAUUCAGGGCUAAUAUCCCUGGGUCUUGACCUAACCCAAAGAAAAAGCACCGGCUAACUCUGUGCCAGCAGCCGCGGUAAUACAGAGGGUGCGAGCGUUAAUCGGAAUUACUGGGCGUAAAGCGUGCGUAGACGGUUAGAUAAGUCGGGUGUGAAAGCCCCGGGCUCAACCUGGGAAUUGCAUUCGAGACUGUUUAGCUAGGGUACGGAAGAGGGAAGCGGAAUUUCNGGU